This 404-nucleotide ribosomal RNA is filed under the name uncultured bacterium. RNAcentral describes it as "bacterial SSU rRNA". It matches the Rfam family "Bacterial small subunit ribosomal RNA", at positions 355 to 776 of the family's 1533-position model. The record is from RNAcentral.
UGGGGAAUAUUGGACAAUGGGCGAAAGCCUGAUCCAGCAAUGCCGCGUGUGUGAUGAAGGCCUUAGGGUUGUAAAGCACUUUCGCACGCGACGAUAAUGACGGUAGCGUGAGAAGAAGCCCCGGCUAACUUCGUGCCAGCAGCCGCGGUAAUACGAAGGGGGCUAGCGUUGUUCGGAAUUACUGGGCGUAAAGGGCGCGUAGGCGGCGCACUAAGUCAGGCGUGAAAGCCCCGGGCUUAACCUGGGAAAUGCGCUUGAGACUGGUGUGCUUGAGUUCGGGAGAGGCGGGUGGAAUUCCCAGUGUAGAGGUGAAAUUCGUAGAUAUUGGGAAGAACACCGGUGGCGAAGGCGGCUCACUGGACCGAUACUGACGCUGAGGCGCGAAAGCGUGGGGAGCAAACAGG